AAUGACGCUCGAAUAGGCAUGCCCCUCGGAAUACCAAGGGGCGCAAUGUGCGUUCAAAGAUUCGAUGAUUCACUGAAUUCUGCAAUUCACAUUACUUAUCGCAUUUCGCUGCGUUCUUCAUCGAUGCCAGAGCCAAGAGAUCCGUUGUUGAAAG
Molecule: ribosomal RNA, 154 nt
Filed under: uncultured Ascomycota
Lineage: Eukaryota; Fungi; Ascomycota
Description: 5.8S ribosomal RNA
Source: RNAcentral